AAAGUACUCCCUCCGUCCCAAAAUUCUUGUCUUACAUUUUUCUAGAUACGGAUGUAUCAAGUCACAUUUUAGUAUUAGAUACAUCCGUAUCUAGACAAAUCUAAGACAAGAAAUUUGGGACAGAGGGAGUAGUUG
This is a non-coding RNA of Triticum aestivum (bread wheat), 135 nucleotides long. Lineage: Eukaryota; Viridiplantae; Streptophyta; Magnoliopsida; Poales; Poaceae. The record is from Rfam.